GACGAACGCUGGCGGCGCGCCUAACACAUGCAAGUCGAACGAGCGAGAGAGAGCUUGCUUUCUCAAGCGAGUGGCGAACGGGUGAGUAACGCGUGAGGAACCUGCCUCAAAGAGGGGGACAACAGUUGGAAACGACUGCUAAUACCGCAUAAGCCCACGACCCGGCAUCGGGUUGAGGGAAAAGGAGCAAUUCGCUUCAGGAUGGCCUCGCGUCCAAUUAGGUAGAUGGUGAGGUAACGGCCCACCAUGCCGACGAUUGGUAGCCGGACUGAGAGGUUGAACGGCCACAUUGGGACUGAGACACGGCCCAG
RNAcentral lists this ribosomal RNA (311 nucleotides) under uncultured bacterium. RNAcentral's name for it is "bacterial SSU rRNA". It matches the Rfam family "Bacterial small subunit ribosomal RNA", at positions 28 to 334 of the family's 1533-position model. The record is from RNAcentral.